AUUUUUGAAGUCAAUGAAACCAAGAACCCACCAAUUCUGGACACACCAGGACAUUCUCUAUUUUUAUUUGCUGAAACUGGCAACACUAAGUGCGGGGCACCAGACACUGCUGUGGCUCAGGCAUCUCGCUAUGGAUAAGUGGUUCAUCUUUCAGCCUGGGGAAGCAGCCAGAUCUGGAACACCUCCAGCAAUUGCCAUAUCCUUCAGCUUCAGAAGGCCGCCAGCAGGGGUCAGUUGUUGGCUGUUUGAGAGGCUUCCAGCUUUUUGGCUAUUAUAAAUAAUGCUGCCACGAUCAUUCACAUCUUUGGUGGACAUCAGUUUUCAUUCCUCUCAAGUAAAUGCCUAGGAUGGAAUUGCUACGUUGUGUGUGAACCACUAAUCACAUGAGAGGUGUGCCAUAAAACAAAGCUUUCAAGAUCAUGGGCUUCCAAUGCAUUGCUUGAUUUUCUGUGGGAGGAAAGUGCUUUUGAAGUUCCAAAUCCAAUCCCUGAAGCAAGAUUAAUAAUCAAAGAUCCUCUCCAGUGUGCAAAUCCUCAUGGGAUUUAGGUGGAUUGCUACAGCCUAGUCCCGAGGCAUGUGGCACACCUGUACGUUGCCACAAAUAGUUCAGAAAUAACACCAGUUCAUGUCUACAACAAGGCCUUUGAACUUGAGUAUUCUCUUUCUGGUAUUCAAUGCUGGAGCUGCAGUGAGAGCGUGCAGUUCCCUAAAUUUUGCCCCCGAGGAACCUUACUUGUCUCACCAUAAUCUCAGUUCAUUUGAACACUUCUCCAGAUACUCUGUAGGAAUACAACGGAGUUAGCUUGUUUCAAGGGAGAGUUUUUUUAUUGGGAAGAUGACCUAACUGGCUAAGUCCAAGUUUGUGGAAACAACAUAUCUGAGGAAUCCGAAUCAGAUCAAUGAAAUAGAGUUUCUAGCAGCUGCACUGUGAAUAACGUCCUGAAAGAUGCUGCUGCUGGAACUCGAUUCCACAGCUAUGGGUGUUUGUUGGAAGGCACCCAAAAGGGAUUCCAAGGGCCCUGCCUCUACUGACUGCCGUUUAUUCUUAAAGCACUAGGCUCAACAGUUGAGCUUUGUGUGGUAUUGAGUGGGUUUUAUGAUUACUUGUUUGCCAUUGUUAGUGUCAGCCUGUCAACACCUUGAAGGGCAGAGCAUUUUUGUUUGUUUUGAAAAUUACUCAAUAGCAAAUCCUUAAUUAUACAGCAGUAUGGCUUUUUGAAAGGUUGAGUGAUGUACUGCUGUUGUUUUAGAUUUCUUUCAUGCUAAAUCUUAUGAGGUGCAUAGCCUUCAAUAACUAAAUGCAAAUAAUGCAAUCGAAUCCCACUUGAGCCUGCCAUUAAUUAUCUCACAUUUAUCUUCAUUUCCAGGCUGGUGAUAUGGGCCAGCAUUCAAGACAACUAGAAAAAAUAUCCAGUAAAGGUUUUGAAGUUCCUUUAUGUGCAGGGAUUUAUGAUACACAGACACGUGUGAACCAUACACACAUACAUGCAUGUAUACACACAUACAUGCAUGUAUGCACACAUCUGCUUUCACAUCUACACACAUCUACAUCUGCAUAAUACCACAUGCAUGGCUAGAUGUAACACAUGCACAUAUCAAUGUGUCACACAUAUUUACACAUAUAUGCACACUCACAUGUUUACUGUAUUUGAAAUUUUUGGUUGCAAGUAACAGGAAACAAACUCAAAGACACCUAAACCAUAAAAGGAAUCCAUAAUUUCACAAAGGUUAUUUCAUUCCCUCUUUCCUCUAUAUGCCAAGGUUGAUCCUCUAUGUUUGUGAAAUGGCUGCUAAAAACUUCCGUAUUGAGGUGUAGCAGGAAGAGUAUGUCUUUCUGGAUAGCUUCUUUGGAAAAGUGAGGAAGCUUUUUUCUUAGAAAUCUUAACAGACCUUCUCUCAUUUUUUAUUGUUGGAAUUGGGUUUCAAGCCCAUCACUAAUUUAAUCCCUGUAACCAAUGAGAUGAAAUAUGAAUAUGGCCUUAAAUGAAUCCCUGGAGCUGACAAGUUAUUACGUGGGGCCCAGGGUCAGAUUUUCCAGAAACAUUUAGGCUGCAUAGGGUAAAAGGCAGAUACCCAAUGGAAAAUCAAAUUCUGUUACCAAAAGGUAGGUCGUCCAAGUCCUGGGUGGCUCAUGUUAGUAAAUGUUCCUACCCCUGGCUCCUGCACACGUACACACACACAACACGGCUGUCAGAAUUUCCACAACCAAAGACGCCCUUUAUUACUGAAUUACUUUCUACACCUCAUGUUUUGACAGAUUCUGUCUACUAAGAAACUGAGAGCAAUAUGGUAACUAAUUCAUUUUUGCAUUUUCAUGCCUGAGAAGCUGGUAUUACCACAAUGAGUUUAUGUAAUUCCAGUCAAUAUUAAAGCAAUACAAUUGAUGUUUAGGUAGCCUGGGAGACCUUAUAGGAAGUAAAUGUACAGUAGUAAUUAGAAUUAUUGAAAUCUUAAAAAUAGCAGAUUACUUGCAGGAGUCGGCGGCCUUUUUGAGAAGCAAUUUUGUAAAAUUUGCCUUCUGAGGUCAAAAUUUGGCUAGACCUUUCUUGGUAAAUGCAGGAAAUCAUGAUGAAUAAUCCAUUGCACCAACCACUGCAAGUAGAUGUACCCUUUGCACCUGCCCCUUCUUCACGUUCCCUUCCACUUCCUUUCUUCUCCAAUGACAUAGUAUCACUGAAGAGGCUCUCCUCUGGAAGAAAACACUUUGAAGUCAUUUAACUAUGUUAAAAAAAAAAAAAAAAAGCUCAAGGAAGCAGUUUGUUUUCAGAGAGUGUAUUUAUCAGCAACUCUCCACUCUCAGUAGUUUAGAAAAAUAAAAGUUUAUUUCUUAUUUACACUGUAGUUUAAAGUGGAUUGUUCACAGGCUGUUAUGUGGCUCUGCUCCAUGCUGUGAUACAGAGAACCAGGCUCCUUCCGUCUGAGAAUUCCUAGGGUCUUAGAGUCUUCCAGUGGAGCCUGUAUAUCCAGCCAGUGGAUGAAAGAAGAAUGAUGAUACAUGGCUGAAACAUGAAUGAUUAUGCAGGCAGAUUGUAGUGUCCCAGCCUGGCAGUGGUACACAUUACUUCUGCCUACAUUCCACUGGCCAGGACACAUAGUAAUGUGGUCACAACCAUUUGCAAAGUUGCUGAAAAAUGUAGUCAAAAAGUGUGGCAAGAUGGAAGGGGAAACAAGGGCGGCUAGAACACACAGGCAUCUUUGCUACAGAUAGACUAACGUUCAUUUAGAAUCUUUUUCUCCUACACAGGUAUGCAGGAGCAUUUUGAAUGCCAGAGUUUUUGAAUCUCAGCAAUUCAAGUUGGGAGGGUCAAGAUCAUGACUAAUAGGGCUGAAUUCUUACUAAAGAACAGCUUGUUUUACAGUUAACAAAUAAAGUUUUGUGCAAGAUUUUUUUUUUCCUUUUUACCUAGAGGUCCCUGAAUUUACAGUUUCUUCAUGAUAUGGUUUGGCUCUGUGUUCCUACCCAAAUCUCAUGUUGAAUUAUGAUCUUCAGUGUUGGAGGAGGGGCCUGGUGGAAGUUGAUUAAAUCAUGGGGGUGGAUUUCUGCCUUGCUGUUCUCAUGAUAGUGAGUGAGUUCUCAUGAGAUCUGGUUGUUUAAAAGUGUGUAGUCUCACGCCUGUAAUCCCAGCAUUUUGAGAGGCUGAGGCGGGCGGAUCAUGAGUUCAAGAGUUCCAGACCAGCCCGACCAACAUGGUGAAACCCCGUCUCUACUAAAAAUACAAAAAUUAGUUGGGUGUGGUGAUGCAUGCCUGUAAUCCCAGCUACUCAGACGGUUGAGGCAGGAGAAUCACUUGAACCUGGGAGGCGGAGGUUGCAGUGAGCCGGCAUUGCGCCACUGCACUCCAGCCUGGGUGACAGAGCGAGACUCCGUCUCAAGGAAAAAAAAAA
RNAcentral lists this long non-coding RNA (3885 nucleotides) under Homo sapiens (human). Its description in RNAcentral is "HSALNT0318612". The record is from RNAcentral. Lineage: Eukaryota; Metazoa; Chordata; Mammalia; Primates; Hominidae.